This 21-nucleotide non-coding RNA is filed under the name Arabidopsis thaliana (thale cress). Lineage: Eukaryota; Viridiplantae; Streptophyta; Magnoliopsida; Brassicales; Brassicaceae. The record is from RNAcentral.
GACCUGGUCGACGAUUUCAAC